RNAcentral lists this ribosomal RNA (373 nucleotides) under Stutzerimonas stutzeri. RNAcentral's name for it is "bacterial SSU rRNA". It matches the Rfam family "Bacterial small subunit ribosomal RNA", at positions 74 to 453 of the family's 1533-position model. Lineage: Bacteria; Pseudomonadati; Pseudomonadota; Gammaproteobacteria; Pseudomonadales; Pseudomonadaceae. The record is from RNAcentral.
UGGAGCUUGCUCCAUGAUUCACGGCGGACGGGUGAGUAAUGCCUAGGAAUCUGCCUGGUAGUGGGGGACAACGUUUCGAAAGGAACGCUAAUACCGCAUACGUCCUACGGGAGAAAGUGGGGGAUCUUCGGACCUCGCGCUAUCAGAUGAGCCUAGGUCGGAUUAGCUAGUUGGUGAGGUAAAGGCUCACCAAGGCGACGAUCCGUAACUGGUCUGAAGGAUGAUCAGUCACACUGGAACUGAGACACGGUCCAGACUCCUACGGGAGGCAGCAGUGGGGAAUAUUGGACAAUGGGCGAAAGCCUGAUCCAGCCAUGCCGCGUGUGUGAAGAAGGUCUUCGGAUUGUAAGCACUUUAAGUUGGGAGGAAGGGC